GACGAACGCUGGCGGCAUGCCUAAUACAUGCAAGUCGAGCGGACAUUUAUUGAUGCUUGCUUCUAUAAGUGUUAGCGGCGGGUGGGUGAGUCACACGUGGGCAACCUUCCCUGUAGAUGGGGAUAACUCCGGGAAACCGGGGCUAAUACCGGAUGAUCAGUUUGUCCGCAUGGACAAACUCUAAAAGACGGCUUCGGCUGUCACUGCAGGAUGGGCCCGCGGCGCAUUAGCUAGUUGGUCGGAUAACGGCCUACCAAGGCCACGAUGCGUAGCCGACCUGGGAGGGUGAUAGGCCACACUGGAACUGAGACACGGCCCAGGCUACUACGGGAGGGAGCAGUAGGGAAUCGUACACAAUGGACGGAAGUCUGAUGGAGCAAUGCCGCGUGAGCGAAGAAGGUUUUCGGAUCGUAAAGCUGUGUUGUGAGGGAAGAACAAGUACGGGAGUAACUGCACGGAGCUUGACGGUACUUGAUAAGAAAGCAACGGCUAACUACGUG
RNAcentral lists this ribosomal RNA (500 nucleotides) under uncultured bacterium. RNAcentral describes it as "partial 16S ribosomal RNA". It matches the Rfam family "Bacterial small subunit ribosomal RNA", at positions 28 to 507 of the family's 1533-position model. The record is from RNAcentral.